This 1062-nucleotide long non-coding RNA is filed under the name Homo sapiens (human). RNAcentral describes it as "non-protein coding lnc-ZNF852-3:1". The record is from RNAcentral. Lineage: Eukaryota; Metazoa; Chordata; Mammalia; Primates; Hominidae.
UGGGGGCACUUAUAUCUCCUCUGCGUAGUUGAUAGUUUGGGUACUGACGACAUGGCUGACAGUGUCAAAACCUUUCUCCAGGACCUUUCCAGGGGAGUCAAAGACUUCAUCUGGGAUAUUUGUACCAUCUCCAGCUAGACACUCCAAUCCAUCAAAAGAGGGGAGCAGCGUGGAAGAAGGGCAAGCAUUGUCCUGGCACAGAGAAUACCCCAGAGUAUAGAGUGGGAGCAAGAGAGUGAGCCAGCAAGUGUUAGUAGAAUUUUCCAGUGUUGCGCUUGGAGGGGUGGACUGCUCUGGUUCAGUCUACUCUUGCUUUAUCGGGUGUUUAUUCCUGGGCUUCAGUGAGUAACAGCGUGAAUUACUUAUGAUCCAUCACUGUGUGGAGAUGCUUGGUCAUGGCUGGAAUUUUUCCUCGUAUAAAUUUCCAGGCCUUUGGGUGCUCCCCUUGUACAUGCCUAGCAAAGUUGUGAAUGCCAUGUGGUUCCAAGAUACAGCUGACCUGGCAUUUGAAGCAUCAGGGAGGAAGCCUCACCCAUUCCCUAGUGUCCACAAAAUAACUGCUGACAUGCUCUCCAAUCUUUUGCUGCAGGCUCUUUUCCCCAUUCAAGGAAUGUCUGUGAGUCUCUUUCCCACCCACCUUGUUGGUCAGCUGGUUACUCUCCGGCGUUUGUCUCUUCUUGACUCAUUCUACUGCUUCAAAUAUGGUUGGUUCAGUAAAGGAAUUGAAAUGCACCAGCGGUUCCUCUAACACAGAGAGGAACUGGCUUUACUACUUUGGGUUUGGUUUUUUUGGCUUUUCUCACAGCAAUGCAGUCCUCAUAUAUUUUCCAUGGCUGCCUUUUCUCUAUCCUCUUUCCUUUAUUCAUUAUCAGUGCAAUGAGGCAAAGAUCCCCGGCCAAGCAUACCUCUUUGAGUUGCACCUCUCCUCCUUCGUGGUCUUCUUAAGCAACAGACUCUUCCACAAGACACUCUCACCUGCAGUCUGCCUUGAGCAGCUCAGCCUCUGCAGAGAAGUUCCCUUCACCACAUAUGUCUCUACCCAGAUUGAAGGCUACUGAAGGC